This 1555-nucleotide ribosomal RNA is filed under the name Bacillus subtilis subsp. subtilis str. BSP1. Its description in RNAcentral is "16S ribosomal RNA". Lineage: Bacteria; Bacillati; Bacillota; Bacilli; Caryophanales; Bacillaceae. The record is from RNAcentral.
AUAAGAAUGCUACGCUCUCAAAGGCGUGGCUCUAUGAUAUCGAACAAGGCCGCCUCACAUGUCUUACUGAGAUGCUGGACGUUCAUUUAGCGGAUGCGCUGAUUGGAGAUUCAUUGAUCGGUGGUGCUGAACAGCGCCCGAUUUGGACAAAGGACAGCCAAGGGUUUUAUGUCAUCGGCACAGAUCAAGGCAGUACGGGCAUCUAUUAUAUUUCGAUUGAAGGCCUUGUGUAUCCGAUUCGUCUGGAAAAAGAGUACAUCAAUAGCUUUUCUCUUUCACCUGAUGAACAGCACUUUAUUGCCAGUGUGACAAAGCCGGACAGACCGAGUGAGCUUUACAGUAUCCCGCUUGGACAGGAAGAGAAACAGCUGACUGGCGCGAAUGACAAGUUUGUCAGUGAGCAUAUGAUAUCAAUACCUGAAGAGAUUCAAUAUGCUACAGAAGACGGCGUGACGGUGAACGGCUGGCUGAUGAAGCCUGCACAAAUGGAAGGUGAGACAACAUAUCCACUUAUUCUCAACAUACACGGCGGUCCGCAUAUGAUGUACGGACAUACAUAUUUUCAUGAGUUUCAGGUGCUGGCGGCGAAAGGAUACGCGGUCGUUUAUAUCAAUCCGAGAGGAAGCCACGGCUACGGGCAGGAAUUUGUGAAUGCGGUCAGAGGGGAUUAUGGAGGAAAGGAUUAUGACGAUGUGAUGCAAGCUGUGGAUGAGGCUAUCAAGCGAGAUCCGCAUAUUGAUCCUAAGCGGCUUGGUGUCACGGGCGGAAGCUACGGAGGUUUUAUGACCAACUGGAUCGUCGGGCAGACGAACCGCUUUAAAGCUGCUGUUACCCAGCGCUCGAUAUCAAACUGGAUCAGCUUUCACGGCGUCAGUGAUAUCGGCUUUUUCUUUACAGACUGGCAGCUUGAGCAUGACAUGUUUGAGGACACAGAAAAGCUCUGGGACCGGUCUCCUUUAAAAUACGCAGCAAACGUGGAGACACCGCUUUUGAUACUGCAUGGCGAGCGGGAUGACCGAUGCCCGAUCGAGCAGGCGGAGCAGCUGUUUAUCGCUCUGAAAAAAAUGGGCAAGGAAACCAAGCUUGUCCGUUUUCCGAAUGCAUCGCACAAUUUGUCACGCACCGGACACCCAAGACAGCGGAUCAAGCGCCUGAAUUAUAUCAGCUCAUGGUUUGAUCAACAUCUCUAAUAAAAAAGCCAGGCUGAUCAAAUAUCAGCCUGGCUGCUUUAUUAAAAGACUUGUUCUACUUCAACGACACCCGGCACUUCUUCUAGAAGAGCGCGCUCAAUUCCGGCUUUCAGCGUAAUUGUUGAACUUGGGCAGCUGCCGCAUGCGCCUAGAAGACGAAGCUUAACGAUACCUUCAUCUACGUCUACAAGCUCACAGUCACCGCCGUCACGAAGUAAAAACGGACGAAGUUUGUCCAGUACUUCCUGCACCUGUUCUUUCAUUUCAACUUCAGUCAUGACAUUCGCUCCUUUCGUCGUCAUAAAACCAUUAUAUUCAGUGUAACAAUAAAAAUCUAUUGUUUGGUUUGCAAAGUUGCUCUCCCU